Molecule: long non-coding RNA, 394 nt
Filed under: Rosa chinensis
Lineage: Eukaryota; Viridiplantae; Streptophyta; Magnoliopsida; Rosales; Rosaceae
Description: sRNA RchiOBHm_Chr2g0112961
Source: RNAcentral
GACAUACCGAGCUAUUGCUCGAUGACGGAAGACGAAUGCGUGAUCGUCGGAAUAGUACUUUUGCAGGCGAAUUAGUGAGGUCGGGCGUACACGGAGUUGAGGCAUAGUCAACAGCAUGGCUUCCGCGUUUGCCUUUGAGUUAGGUUGUCCUUAUUUAUCUUUCUAUUAGAAUUGCCCUGAUUACCUAUGGGAUUUAUGUUUUUCAAGUUGAGGUUUGUAUUUUGUGAAUUGGAGAUUGAUGUUGAGUUGGGGAGCAGGGUGGCUCCAGAAGUAUAAGGAUGAUUUGAUUUAGAAGUGUAAAUGCUUUCUACAGGUUUUGGGUAGCCUAUUUUAGGGGAAGUUCCGCCAAAUUUUUGGUAGAAUUUCUUUUAAGGUGGGCCCCGCAGGGCCACUU